This 465-nucleotide ribosomal RNA is filed under the name uncultured bacterium. RNAcentral's name for it is "partial 16S ribosomal RNA". It matches the Rfam family "Bacterial small subunit ribosomal RNA", at positions 338 to 795 of the family's 1533-position model. The record is from RNAcentral.
CCUACGGGAGGCAGCAGUGGGGAAUAUUGCGCAAUGGGCGAAAGCCUGACGCAGCGACGCCGCGUGAGGGAUGAAGGUCUUCGGAUCGUAAACCUCUGUCAGCAGGGAAGAACGGUCACUGUGCUAAUCAGCAGUGAAUUGACGGUACCUGCAAAGGAAGCACCGGCUAACUCCGUGCCAGCAGCCGCGGUAAUACGGAGGGUGCGAGCGUUAAUCGGAAUUACUGGGCGGAAAGCGCUCGUAGGCGGUAUGGCAAGUCAAGGGUGAAAUCCCCGCGCUCAACGGUGGAACUGCCUUUGAAACUGGACAGCUGGAGUGUGUGAGAGGAUAGUGGAAUUCCAGGUGUAGGAGUGAAAUCCGUAGAUAUCUGGAGGAACAUCAGUGGCGAAGGCGACUAUCUGGCACAUAACUGACGCUGAGGAGCGAAAGCGUGGGUAGCAAACAGGAUUAGAUACCCCAGUAGUC